CUGGCUCAGGAUGAACGCUAGCGGCAGGCUUAACACAUGCAAGUCGAGGGGCGAGCGGGAUGUAGCAAUACAUUGCCGGCGACCGGCGGAUGGGUGCGUAACGCGUAUGCAACCUACCUAUACAGGGGAAUAACCUUUCGAAAGGGAGACUAACACCCCAUAGUAUUGAUUUAAGGCAUCUUAGAUUAAUUAAAUAUUUAUAGGUAUAAGAUGGGCAUGCGUAUGAUUAGCUAGUUGGUAAGGUAACGGCUUACCAAGGCGACGAUCAUUAGGGGUUCUGAGAGGAAGGUCCCCCACACUGGUACUGAGACACGGACCAGACUCCUACGGGAGGCAGCAGUGAGGAAUAUUGGUCAAUGGGCGCAAGCCUGAACCAGCCAUGCCGCGUGCAGGAAAGACGGCCUUAUGGGUUGUAAACUGCUUUUACAUAAGACUAACCGUAUAUUUGCGAAUAUACCUGAAUGUAUUAUGAGAAUAAGGAUCGGCUAACUCCGUGCCAGCAGCCGC
Molecule: ribosomal RNA, 507 nt
Filed under: uncultured bacterium
Lineage: Bacteria
Description: bacterial SSU rRNA
Rfam family: Bacterial small subunit ribosomal RNA
Source: RNAcentral